This 2930-nucleotide ribosomal RNA is filed under the name Escherichia coli. Its description in RNAcentral is "23S ribosomal RNA". It matches the Rfam family "Bacterial large subunit ribosomal RNA". Lineage: Bacteria; Pseudomonadati; Pseudomonadota; Gammaproteobacteria; Enterobacterales; Enterobacteriaceae. The record is from RNAcentral.
GGGUUGUGAGGUUAAGCGACUAAGCGUACACGGUGGAUGCCCUGGCAGUCAGAGGCGAUGAAGGACGUGCUAAUCUGCGAUAAGCGUCGGUAAGGUGAUAUGAACCGUUAUAACCGGCGAUUUCCGAAUGGGGAAACCCAGUGUGAUUCGUCACACUAUCAUUAACUGAAUCCAUAGGUUAAUGAGGCGAACCGGGGGAACUGAAACAUCUAAGUACCCCGAGGAAAAGAAAUCAACCGAGAUUCCCCCAGUAGCGGCGAGCGAACGGGGAGCAGCCCAGAGCCUGAAUCAGUGUGUGUGUUAGUGGAAGCGUCUGGAAAGGCGUGCGAUACAGGGUGACAGCCCCGUACACAAAAAUGCACAUAUUGUGAGCUCGAUGAGUAGGGCGGGACACGUGGUAUCCUGUCUGAAUAUGGGGGGACCAUCCUCCAAGGCUAAAUACUCCUGACUGACCGAUAGUGAACCAGUACCGUGAGGGAAAGGCGAAAAGAACCCCGGCGAGGGGAGUGAAAAAGAACCUGAAACCGUGUACGUACAAGCAGUGGGAGCACGCUUAGGCGUGUGACUGCGUACCUUUUGUAUAAUGGGUCAGCGACUUAUAUUCUGUAGCAAGGUUAACCGAAUAGGGGAGCCGAAGGGAAACCGAGUCUUAACUGGGCGUUAAGUUGCAGGGUAUAGACCCGAAACCCGGUGAUCUAGCCAUGGGCAGGUUGAAGGUUGGGUAACACUAACUGGAGGACCGAACCGACUAAUGUUGAAAAAUUAGCGGAUGACUUGUGGCUGGGGGUGAAAGGCCAAUCAAACCGGGAGAUAGCUGGUUCUCCCCGAAAGCUAUUUAGGUAGCGCCUCGUGAAUUCAUCUCCGGGGGUAGAGCACUGUUUCGGCAAGGGGGUCAUCCCGACUUACCAACCCGAUGCAAACUGCGAAUACCGGAGAAUGUUAUCACGGGAGACACACGGCGGGUGCUAACGUCCGUCGUGAAGAGGGAAACAACCCAGACCGCCAGCUAAGGUCCCAAAGUCAUGGUUAAGUGGGAAACGAUGUGGGAAGGCCCAGACAGCCAGGAUGUUGGCUUAGAAGCAGCCAUCAUUUAAAGAAAGCGUAAUAGCUCACUGGUCGAGUCGGCCUGCGCGGAAGAUGUAACGGGGCUAAACCAUGCACCGAAGCUGCGGCAGCGACGCUUAUGCGUUGUUGGGUAGGGGAGCGUUCUGUAAGCCUGCGAAGGUGUGCUGUGAGGCAUGCUGGAGGUAUCAGAAGUGCGAAUGCUGACAUAAGUAACGAUAAAGCGGGUGAAAAGCCCGCUCGCCGGAAGACCAAGGGUUCCUGUCCAACGUUAAUCGGGGCAGGGUGAGUCGACCCCUAAGGCGAGGCCGAAAGGCGUAGUCGAUGGGAAACAGGUUAAUAUUCCUGUACUUGGUGUUACUGCGAAGGGGGGACGGAGAAGGCUAUGUUGGCCGGGCGACGGUUGUCCCGGUUUAAGCGUGUAGGCUGGUUUUCCAGGCAAAUCCGGAAAAUCAAGGCUGAGGCGUGAUGACGAGGCACUACGGUGCUGAAGCAACAAAUGCCCUGCUUCCAGGAAAAGCCUCUAAGCAUCAGGUAACAUCAAAUCGUACCCCAAACCGACACAGGUGGUCAGGUAGAGAAUACCAAGGCGCUUGAGAGAACUCGGGUGAAGGAACUAGGCAAAAUGGUGCCGUAACUUCGGGAGAAGGCACGCUGAUAUGUAGGUGAAGUCCCUUGCGGAUGGAGCUGAAAUCAGUCGAAGAUACCAGCUGGCUGCAACUGUUUAUUAAAAACACAGCACUGUGCAAACACGAAAGUGGACGUAUACGGUGUGACGCCUGCCCGGUGCCGGAAGGUUAAUUGAUGGGGUUAGCGCAAGCGAAGCUCUUGAUCGAAGCCCCGGUAAACGGCGGCCGUAACUAUAACGGUCCUAAGGUAGCGAAAUUCCUUGUCGGGUAAGUUCCGACCUGCACGAAUGGCGUAAUGAUGGCCAGGCUGUCUCCACCCGAGACUCAGUGAAAUUGAACUCGCUGUGAAGAUGCAGUGUACCCGCGGCAAGACGGAAAGACCCCGUGAACCUUUACUAUAGCUUGACACUGAACAUUGAGCCUUGAUGUGUAGGAUAGGUGGGAGGCUUUGAAGUGUGGACGCCAGUCUGCAUGGAGCCGACCUUGAAAUACCACCCUUUAAUGUUUGAUGUUCUAACGUUGACCCGUAAUCCGGGUUGCGGACAGUGUCUGGUGGGUAGUUUGACUGGGGCGGUCUCCUCCUAAAGAGUAACGGAGGAGCACGAAGGUUGGCUAAUCCUGGUCGGACAUCAGGAGGUUAGUGCAAUGGCAUAAGCCAGCUUGACUGCGAGCGUGACGGCGCGAGCAGGUGCGAAAGCAGGUCAUAGUGAUCCGGUGGUUCUGAAUGGAAGGGCCAUCGCUCAACGGAUAAAAGGUACUCCGGGGAUAACAGGCUGAUACCGCCCAAGAGUUCAUAUCGACGGCGGUGUUUGGCACCUCGAUGUCGGCUCAUCACAUCCUGGGGCUGAAGUAGGUCCCAAGGGUAUGGCUGUUCGCCAUUUAAAGUGGUACGCGAGCUGGGUUUAGAACGUCGUGAGACAGUUCGGUCCCUAUCUGCCGUGGGCGCUGGAGAACUGAGGGGGGCUGCUCCUAGUACGAGAGGACCGGAGUGGACGCAUCACUGGUGUUCGGGUUGUCAUGCCAAUGGCACUGCCCGGUAGCUAAAUGCGGAAGAGAUAAGUGCUGAAAGCAUCUAAGCACGAAACUUGCCCCGAGAUGAGUUCUCCCUGACUCCUUGAGAGUCCUGAAGGAACGUUGAAGACGACGACGUUGAUAGGCCGGAUGUGUAAGCGCAGCGAUGCGUUGAGCUAACCGGUACUAAUGAACCGUGAGGCUUAACCUUACAACGCCGAAGCUGUU